GAUGAACGCUGGCGGCGUGCUUAACACAUGCAAGUCGAACGAAGCACUUUUGAUUCUUCGGAAAAGAAAGUGACUGAGUGGCGGACGGGUGAGUAACGCGUGGGUAACCUGCCUUAUACAGGGGGAUAACAGUUGGAAACGACUGCUAAUACCGCAUAAGCCGACAGGGCCGCAUGGCCUGGUUGGAAAGGAUUUAUCGGUAUAAGAUAGACCCGCGUCUGAUUAGCUAGUUGGUGAGGUAAUGGCUCACCAAGGCGACGAUCAGUAGCCGGCUUGAGGGAGUGAACGGCCACAUUGGGACUGAGACACGGCCCAAACUCCUACGGGAGGCAGCAGUGGGGAAUAUUGCACAAUGGGGGAAACCCUGAUGCAGCAACGCCGCGUGAAGGAAGAAGUAUUUCGGUAUGUAAACUUCUAUCAGCAGGAAAGAAAAUGACGGUACCUGACUAAGAAGCCCCGGCUAACUACGUGCCAGCCGCCGCCGUAA
RNAcentral lists this ribosomal RNA (487 nucleotides) under uncultured bacterium. RNAcentral's name for it is "partial 16S ribosomal RNA". It matches the Rfam family "Bacterial small subunit ribosomal RNA", at positions 28 to 523 of the family's 1533-position model. The record is from RNAcentral.